UACGGAGGAUGCAAGCGUUAUCCGGAAUUAUUGGGCGUAAAGCGUCCGCAGGUGGCUAAUCAAGUCUGCUGUUAAAGACAGAAGCUUAACUUCUGGCAAGUGGUGGAAACUGGGAAGCUAGAGUACGGUAGGGGUUGAGGGAAUUCCCAGUGUAGCGGUGAAAUGCGUAGAUAUUGGGAAGAACACCAGUGGCGAAGGCGCUCAACUGGGCCGUAACUGACACUCAGGGACGAAAGCUAGGGUAGCGAAAGGG
This 253-nucleotide ribosomal RNA is filed under the name uncultured bacterium. Its description in RNAcentral is "partial 16S ribosomal RNA". It matches the Rfam family "Bacterial small subunit ribosomal RNA", at positions 524 to 776 of the family's 1533-position model. The record is from RNAcentral.